This 208-nucleotide long non-coding RNA is filed under the name Zalophus californianus (California sea lion). RNAcentral's name for it is "lncRNA (ENSZCAG00015020643.1)". The record is from RNAcentral. Lineage: Eukaryota; Metazoa; Chordata; Mammalia; Carnivora; Otariidae.
AGGGGAGAGGGGGCGGAGGCAAAUAAAGAGGGAGGGGGCAGGCUGAGACGGAGCGAUUCCGGAGGCCACCGUCCAGGCUGCUCCCGGGCUGCCGCGCUCGCCCGUUUCCGGCUGCUUCCCCCACUCUCCGCCAGAGAUUGGCUGUAAAGAUCCCCAAAUGAACUCAGGAGGACCCUCCAGAAAAGUUACCAUCUUAAGAUCUAAAUGA